RNAcentral lists this small RNA (51 nucleotides) under Sinorhizobium meliloti 2011. Its description in RNAcentral is "putative ncRNA". Lineage: Bacteria; Pseudomonadati; Pseudomonadota; Alphaproteobacteria; Hyphomicrobiales; Rhizobiaceae. The record is from RNAcentral.
AAUCGGCGCUUGAGACAACAGGCAACGGAAAUUGCCACGCGAGAAUUUUGU